Molecule: unclassified non-coding RNA, 592 nt
Filed under: Hevea brasiliensis (rubber tree)
Lineage: Eukaryota; Viridiplantae; Streptophyta; Magnoliopsida; Malpighiales; Euphorbiaceae
Source: RNAcentral
UAUUAUUAUAUUAUAUAUUUUUUCAACUUGGUCAAUUAAUGUCUCAAGAAAAAAAACUUAGUCAAUUAAUGAAUUUUUAUUGGGGAAAUAUAAUUUUAUUACAGAGGAAACAAAAAACUAUUAGCAAAUCUAUUAAAUAUAAAACAAAAUUACCUCUUGUCUUGAAAGUUCUCUCUAAAGGAGGCUUCCACCUUCCGUCAUCUCUCGAGUUUCACUAAACAUAGUCCUUUCAGGGCAAGGGGAAGGCGUUUCUUCAGUUUGGUUUUGGGUCUCCUCCCUUUUCAGAUUUGGAUCGCAAUAGUGGACCAUCCUCCCCAUCAGCAGAAUUUUAGACUGCGUUGUAAUGUUUAGCAGUACUACUAUUUUGAUGUAAUAGCUUAUGGAUAACUAAUAUAUAGACAUUACAACACCAUAAAGCCUAUUUUAGAUCAUGAUUAAAGCCCAACUUUUUCUUUUUUGUUGAUAUUGACUCUUUGCCACAAAUGAAUAGAUAUGCUAUGAUCUUUUACGCAAUGUCCAUCAUUUUUACAUUUCAGCGUGCAUUAUCUACAUUUGAUAUUAAGGACAAUGUCAAGAAUGUAUUUGGGGUGUG